Molecule: ribosomal RNA, 492 nt
Filed under: uncultured bacterium
Lineage: Bacteria
Description: partial 16S ribosomal RNA
Rfam family: Bacterial small subunit ribosomal RNA
Source: RNAcentral
AGUGAACGCUGGCGGUAGGCCUAUUACAUGCAAGUCGAACGGCAGCACAGUAAGAGCUUGCUCUUACGGGUGGCGAGUGGCGGACGGGUGAGGAAUACAUCGGAAUCUACUUUUUCGUGGGGGAUAACGUAGGGAAACUUACGCUAAUACCGCAUACGACCUACGGGUGAAAGCAGGGGAUCUUCGGACCUUGCGCGAUUGAAUGAGCCGAUGUCGGAUUAGCUAGUUGGCGGGGUAAAGGCCCACCAAGGCGACGAUCCGUAGCUGGUCUGAGAGGAUGAUCAGCCACACUGGAACUGAGACACGGUCCAGACUCCUACGGGAGGCAGCAGUGGGGAAUAUUGGACAAUGGGCGCAAGCCUGAUCCAGCCAUACCGCGUGGGUGAAGAAGGCCUUCGGGUUGUAAAGCCCUUUUGUUGGGAAAGAAAAGCAGCAGGUUAAUACCCCGCUGUUCUGACGGUACCCAAAGAAUAAGCACCGGCUAACUUCGUG